Molecule: ribosomal RNA, 409 nt
Filed under: uncultured bacterium
Lineage: Bacteria
Description: bacterial SSU rRNA
Rfam family: Bacterial small subunit ribosomal RNA
Source: RNAcentral
AAUGGGCGCAAGCCUGAUGGAGCGACGCCGCGUGGGGGAUGAAUGGCUUCGGCCCGUAAACCCCUGUCAUUUGCGAUCAACCGUUAUUAUUUAAAAGAUGAUAACCUGAUAGUAGCGAAAGAGGAAGGGACGGCUAACUCUGUGCCAGGAGCCGCGGUAAUACAGAGGUCCCAAGCGUUGUUCGGAUUCACUGGGCGUAAAGGGUGCGUAGGUGGCGGGGUAAGUCGGAUGUGAAAUCUCGGAGCUCAACUCCGAAAUGGCAUUGGAAACUACCCUGCUCGAGGAUUGGAGGGGGGACUGGAAUACUUGGUGUAGCAGUGAAAUGCGUAGAUAUCAAGUGGAACACCAGUGGCGAAGGCGAGUCCCUGGACAACUCCUGACACUGAGGCACGAAAGCUAGGGGAGCAAA